AUUGAACGCUGGCGGCAGGCCUAACACAUGCAAGUCGAGCGGUAGCACAGAGAGCUUGCUCUCGGGUGACGAGCGGCGGACGGGUGAGUAAUGUCUGGGAAACUGCCUGAUGGAGGGGGAUAACUACUGGAAACGGUAGCUAAUACCGCAUAAUGUCGCAAGACCAAAGUGGGGGACCUUCGGGCCUCAUGCCAUCAGAUGUGCCCAGAUGGGAUUAGCUAGUAGGUGGGGUAACGGCUCACCUAGGCGACGAGCCCUAGCUGGUCUGACAGAAUGACCAGCCACACUGGAACUGAGACACGGUCCAGACUCCUACGGGAGGCAGCAGUGGGGAAUAUUGCACAAUGGGCGCAAGCCUGAUGCAGCCAUGCCGCGUGUGUGAAGAAGGCCUUCGGGUUGUAAAGCACUUUCAGCGGGGAGGAAGGCGUUAAGGUUAAUAGCCUUGGCGAUUGACGUUACCCGCAGAAGAAGCACCGGCUAACUCCGUGCCAGCCGCCGCGGUAA
This 504-nucleotide ribosomal RNA is filed under the name uncultured bacterium. RNAcentral's name for it is "partial 16S ribosomal RNA". It matches the Rfam family "Bacterial small subunit ribosomal RNA", at positions 30 to 523 of the family's 1533-position model. The record is from RNAcentral.